GCGGCGGCGUAAUACUUGCAAGUCGCGCGGACAGUCUCAGGAGCUUGCUCCCUGAUGUUAGCGGCGGACGGGUGAGUAACACGUGGGUAACCUGCCUGUAAGACUGGGAUAACUCCGGGAAACCGGGGCUAAUACCGGAUGGUUGUUUGAACCGCAUGGUUCAGACAUAAAAGGUGGCUUCGGCUACCACUUACAGAUGGACCCGCGGCGCAUUAGCUAGUUGGUGAGGUAACGGCUCACCAAGGCGACGAUGCGUAGCCGACCUGAGAGGGUGAUCGGCCACACUGGGACUGAGACACGGCCCAGACUCCUACGGGAGGCAGCAGUAGGGAAUCUUCCGCAAUGGACGAAAGUCUGACGGAGCAACGCCGCGUGAGUGAUGAAGGUUUUCGGAUCGUAAAGCUCUGUUGUUAGGGAAGAACAAGUGCCGUUCAAAUAGGGCGGCACCUUGACGGUACCUAACCAGAAAGCCACGGCUAACUACGUGCCAGCAGCCGCGGUAAUACGUAGGUGGCAAGCGUUGUCCGGAAUUAUUGGGCGUAAAGGGCUCGCAGGCGGUUUCUUAAGUCUGAUGUGAAAGCCCCCGGCUCAACCGGGGAGGGUCAUUGGAAACUGGGGAACUUGAGUGCAGAAGAGGAGAGUGGAAUUCCACGUGUAGCGGUGAAAUGCGUAGAGAUGUGGAGGAACACCAGUGGCGAAGGCGACUCUCUGGUCUGUAACUGACGCUGAGGAGCGACGUUCUGACA
This 746-nucleotide ribosomal RNA is filed under the name Bacillus amyloliquefaciens. RNAcentral's name for it is "bacterial SSU rRNA". It matches the Rfam family "Bacterial small subunit ribosomal RNA", at positions 39 to 767 of the family's 1533-position model. The record is from RNAcentral. Lineage: Bacteria; Bacillati; Bacillota; Bacilli; Caryophanales; Bacillaceae.